CCCCUCUGGCUGACCCCGCCAUUAACGCUUCUGGUUCUUCCACUAACUUGGCGUCCUCCCUUCUCACAGCACUUACUGCUGCCCUGGAUCAUCCUCCUACUCCCCCUCCCCUUCCCGCCGACUUGUCUCCCCUUCUCACCGCCCUCUCGGCCCUAGCCCGCCCAGCUCCUCCCAACAUGGUCACUCAUCAUCCUCCUCCUCCUUCACUCCCUAACGAAUUGUCUGUCCUUGCCUCAGCCCUCUCUGCCCUAGCCCAACCUGCCGCCACGGUGUCCCCACCCACUCCUAGCCCCGCCCCAUGUAUCCAGGCCCCCAGUACCAGCUUUCCCCUCAUGGUGGCUGGCUCUGAAGAACCAGCCACAUCGGCCCAGCCUCAUGCUGUGGGUGUUUCCCCAGCUGCGUCAGGUUACCACCCCACCGCGUCACAGUCAGGCAGCCUGCCCAACGCGGCCCAGGCUCCCCAGACUUCUAUCACUCCGGCCAUCCCAGACCCGGUUUCUCUGGGAGCUGCUUCCUCUCAGGGGGACCCUGCCACCCCAGAGGACGAUGACAUUGAUGCUC
Molecule: non-coding RNA, 561 nt
Organism: Pelobates cultripes (western spadefoot toad)
Lineage: Eukaryota; Metazoa; Chordata; Amphibia; Anura; Pelobatidae
Source: the annotation of a GenBank genome assembly